CGAACGAUGAACCACUUCGGUGGGGAUUAGUGGCGAACGGGUGAGUAACACGUGGGCAAUCUGCCCUGCACUCUGGGACAAGCCCUGGAAACGGGGUCUAAUACCGGAUACUGAUUGUCUUGGGCAUCCUUGAUGAUCGAAAGCUCCGGCGGUGCAGGAUGAGCCCGCGGCCUAUCAGCUUGUUGGUGAGGUAACGGCUCACCAAGGCGACGACGGGUAGCCGGCCUGAGAGGGCGACCGGCCACACUGGGACUGAGACACGGCCCAGACUCCUACGGGAGGCAGCAGUGGGGAAUAUUGCACAAUGGGCGAAAGCCUGAUGCAGCGACGCCGCGUGAGGGAUGACGGCCUUCGGGUUGUAAACCUCUUUCAGCAGGGAAGAAGCGAAAGUGACGGUACCUGCAGAAGAAGCGCCGGCUAACUACGUGCCAGCAGCCGCGGUAAUACGUAGGGCGCAAGCGUUGUCCGGAAUUAUUGGGCGUAAAGAGCUCGUAGGCGGCUUGUCGCGUCGGUUGUGAAAGCCCGGGGCUUAACCCCGGGUCUGCAGUCGAUACGGGCAGGCUAGAGUUCGGUAGGGGAGAUCGGAAUUCCUGGUGUAGCGGUGAAAUGCGCAGAUAUC
This 619-nucleotide ribosomal RNA is filed under the name Streptomyces sp. D1409. RNAcentral describes it as "bacterial SSU rRNA". It matches the Rfam family "Bacterial small subunit ribosomal RNA", at positions 63 to 698 of the family's 1533-position model. The record is from RNAcentral. Lineage: Bacteria; Bacillati; Actinomycetota; Actinomycetes; Kitasatosporales; Streptomycetaceae.